Molecule: long non-coding RNA, 8554 nt
Organism: Equus caballus (horse)
Lineage: Eukaryota; Metazoa; Chordata; Mammalia; Perissodactyla; Equidae
Source: Ensembl
UAAUUAGUGAAUGAAACGACCCGGAGAUGAGCAAAAACAUGUUCCCUGGUCGUGUGCGUUGUGUCUGUACUGAGAGGCAACGGGCUGGAGUGGGCGCUGGCCCAGGGGUUGGGGGACAUGGGUUCUAGCCCUGAUUCUGUUCCCAGUGGAGCUGUGUGACCUCAGUGAAUCCCCACCCCUCUCUGAGCCUCAGUUUCCUUAUUUCUCUCCAGGCAGCAUCGUGUGGUGCUUAGGCUGCAUGGGUUCGAGUGUUGGCUUUCUCCUACUUACUAGCUGCGUGAUCUUAGGCCACUCGGCCUCUGGCGCCUCAGUUUCCUGAUCUGUAAAAUGGGACUAAUAAUGCCCCAUCAGUUGGUUGUGAAUAGUCAGCGAGGUAAACGCCAGGCCCGGCAGGUGGUAAAUGCUCCGCAAAUAUUCACUACCAUCAAUGUCGUUAUUAUUAUUACUGUCACUGUGAAAUGGGAGGGAUCAACUUCCAUCCUUUCCAGCUCCGAUAUUCUGGGGCACCGUGCGUGUGUGUGUGUGUGUGUGUGUGUGUGUGUGUCCUGGCAUUUGGGAUGAAAGGCAAGGGUAAAUAAAAUGAACUGCCCUUUUGGUUUUUUUGUCUUCCUUUCCCUGCCCCGGUGAGGGGCUCCUGAGUUACGGUCUUAUACGUGUUCUCUUGAUCACCCGUCCCCGUGGCAGGAAGCCCAGUUUGACGUCACUGAAAAUAUCCUGCUUUCUGGCACGUAAGGGACGAGAUUUCAUCAGCUGGUGCUCACGCAUCCUCUCCCUUCCACCCUUAGCCGUAGCACGGAGGCCGUAUGUGCAGAUAAUAAGUUUAAGCUGAUAAACAACGCCCAGAUUCACCCAAAUGAAAGGCCGUCCCCCUAGAAGACACUUUGCACUUUCAAAUAAAUGACCUGGCUCCUCUGCGACGUCGCCUUGCGUCCGGCCGCCCUGCCUCCCUCUGUGCCCUGCCCCUGGGUCUGUGUCAGGGGCGUGGGCCGGGCCAGCUCUGCAGUCUUGGCUUUGUCAGCGUCCUGGCUGGGCGGCCUCCUCUGCCUCGGCUCCCUCCGGCGAGGCUGGUCCUUGCAGCCACCCAGGCACCGUCUUCACGGUGACACACGUUUUGGGAGAGCAUACCAUCCUCCGCCAGCAGCCAGCAAUGCUUCAUCUUGCCGCCACCCUCAAGGCAGGUUCAGAUGUUGUCCCCCUUUUACAGAAUAGAGAGGAAGGCUGGGAGAAAUCGAGAGAGAAAACGGUGGGACGAGGGUUUGACCCUGGGCUGACCUGAUGCCCGUCCUGUGCUCUGGUCCACUAUGUCACAGCUCCUCUUGUAUCGAGACCUCCUGUGAGCCCGAGGGCCCAGGAAGGACAUCCCUGAGCUGCGCUCCAGCCUCUCCUCCCGGCUUUGGGUCCUUGUCCAGGCUCAGCGUGCCGUGUGGGCUUCUCUCUUCUCAUCCUGCAUCAGUCACUCGCUUAUCCUGGGGACAGUGAGGGCCAGGAGUUUUUUGGGACAAGGCCGCUAAGAGGAGAGGAAUGAUCUUAUUAAGCAACAAAAGGCUGUCACUGAAAGAGGAUGCGUGUCGGAGUCGCAGUCUGAACUUGCAUCUUGUUUCUGCCACUUAGGGCUCUGUGGCCUUGGUUUCCUUCUCUGUGAAAAUCAGAAUAGGAGCGACAAUGAUACUGCUGAGCUGUGAGCCCGCUGCCACAGCGGACGGCCCCAGGCCCUCAGAGGCUUAACCCGGCCGGUUUGGUGCUCGCUCCUGUCACUUGUGUAACGUGGUCUCUGCUCCACGCGGUUACUCAGGGCCCCAGGCUGAUGGUGACGCCGCUGCCUCUAUAGCUGCAUCUUCUGACCAUGUGGCUUCUGCAGUGACUGCAGAAGGGGAAGGAGGUGGAGAAGACAGGCUCACCAUCCGCAGCCUCGGCCGGGAGGCGACACGCAUCACUUCAGCUCCAGCAGCAUCGUCAAAACCACCACGCGGGCCGCACUGCCCUCUGGGGAGGCUGGGAGGGUGAGGCAGCCCGUGGGUAUUUGCUGAGUGCUGACUCCUGCGUUUGCGUUUCCUGCGUAGGGUUCUCUGAGGAUUAAUCGAGGUGAUGCAUUUAAAGCGUCUAGCGUAGACCUGGCACCAUGGAAGGCUGCUUUCCCCCAUAGUCCCUGACGCGCAUGGCUCUUCACAGAUUACAGGCUGUGUGCGCGGAAAUGAUGUCCCGGUGGAUCAUGUAGUGCCCGUCAUACACUGGAGGAAGGCGGGGUUCAGAGAGGCCAAGGGACUGGCUGGUGGAUACACAGCAAGGGCGCUAAGCCGGGCCCCUACCUUCCGCCCAGUGCUCCCAUGGCCUCCUUUGCUUGCUGAAAUUUACUGCUCCCAGAACUUCUUCCAGGAGCUUCCAGAACCUCCUUCUGCUCCUGUCUCCUCCUCCUGACCCCUCAUGGUAUGGAGCGCCUGUGUUCGUCUUGUGGGUGCAUGGGGUGGGGGCCGAAGGGGCUGCAGACGAGAGGCUGCAGGAACCAUCUGGAAGCUGAGGAAGGAGCGAAGGGGCGUGAGGUGAGGGAGCCACGGUUUUAGGUUUUCAUAGUGGAAGCCACAGGAAUUUGGGCCCCACGUGCCGCUUUGGGGACUGCUGUGCGUUCAAGCUCUGGGGUGUCCCCAGAUGAUGACAAGGUUCCCUGUGGGUCCUGUCCCACCCAUGCAGCCCCGCGCUGGCCCUUUGGCCUCUUGUGGGCUUGGGAGGGGGGAGGAGGGCCCGAUGAGGCCACCCUGCCCGCUGCUCGGAGGACAGUGGGAUGGUCAGACCGAGCUUCCGAUCCUGCCUCCUCUGCCAGCCCUCAUGCCUCUCUCUGAGCCUCAGUUUUCUCCCCUGCAAAAUGGGAAGGGUGUGGGGAAGCUGUAAGGCAGUCAAGUUCCUGGUACGUCGUGGGUGUCAACGUGUUUGCACAUGUCUCCUCUCCCACUUGAGUCGGAGGAGGAGGUGCCUGGCGAGGGACCAGCACCUGAGGAGAGGCCAGAAGCUGCCCAGCACGGCCGCCCGUGCCUCGCCUCUUGGAUGGAGGGUCGCCGGGCCCCCUCCCCGCGGCCCCAGGCCGAGCUCUGGUGGUGAGCUGAUGUGGCUUCCGUUUGAAAGGGGAGAAGAGCUUGGAGCCCUGGCCCUUGGAUUCGCGCCCGUCUUUUCAUGUCUAAUUACUACGGUGGGCACGGGGCCUGGGGUACCGUGGCACGGGGCUCCCUCCCGCGUGGCUGCCUCUCCGGCUAGGCCAGAUGGCUGUGCGCUCGCUGGCCAAGUGCGCCCCAGCCCCCCCAGGAGCCGCCCUGCCACCACCUGGAGCCUGACAUUCCCGGCUGCAGGGAGCCGGGCAGGCCGGGCCACUGCUCGGUGUGGGGUUUCAGCCCCCGGGGCAGGGAGGUGCUUCUGCCGCCAAAACCUAAAUGCCCGGAGUAAUGGAGGUUAACUGUCCCCUUCAAAGGACCCCCAGGAAGGGCUAGUGGGCUGGACACCGGAGGGGAGGGGCCUCUGGGAGAGGAUGGCUCCCCAAGACGGGUUCUGAGGUGGCCCAUCGUCCCCCUACGCAUAGAGGACACUUGUUCUUGGGGGCACUGAAGAGAGCGACUUCCACUGUGGCCACCAGGAUGCCUGGGAGGCACGCUGGCUGCCGGCUGGCAUGCAGGCCGGUGGGGCCGGGAGUCGGACGCCGUGGGGCCUCAAACACGCCCCAUUCCGCCUGUCCCCUGACCUCGGCUUUGCAGCCCCUCCCACCUGAAACGCCUGGGCCGGGCCUGGGACCAGCUCUGGAGCCCCCUGAGGCGGGGUCCUGGUCCCCUCGGGCUGCCGUAACAAAGCGCCACUAAGUGGGGGCCCAAAACAGCAGACGUUUGUCCUCUCGCAGUUCUGGAGGCUAAAGUCCUGGUGUUGGCAGGUCCCAGGGAGGGUGCUCCAUGCUCCUUCCUAGCAGCUGCUGGUGGCUGCUGGCAGGCUCGGUGUCCUUGGCUUGUGGACACAUGACUCCCGUGUCUUCCUUGGUCGUCACGUGCGGGUCUUCCUGUGCCAUCCGUCCUCUCACUGGAUUGGGGCUUAACAACCUCGUCUGAACUUGAUCACGUCUGCAAAGACCUGAUUUGCACAUAAGGUCACAUUCACAGGUACCGGGGGCUGGAACUUCCGCAUAUCUUUUUGGGGGACGCAAUUCAACCCAUACCAGGUGGGCACUAUUAUUUCCCCAUUUUACAACCAAAAAACCCAACCCAGGGGGGUGAAGUCGUUUGCCCAAGUUCGUCCCACUGUCUAGGAAGGGGUUGAAUUGAUCUCCGUGCGCUUCAGUUUUCUUAUCAGUGAAGCGGGCACUUAGACCCGCCUCGUGGCCUGGUUGUGAGCGUCCGAGGAGUGACCGUCUGCGACAGACACGCUGCCCACAGCUCGGCGCUGUCAGAUGCUGUGAGCCGUGUCCGCCCCCUCCCUCCAGGCCUGGAAGGCUGCUGGGUGUUCAGUCUGGGCCCCAGGAGCAUCGACGUCCAUGGACCAUAACCAGAUGCAGAUGGGGUGUUUUCCAGAAACGUGAUUGGAAAUGACUGCGCAAAAGGCGCCACGUGCGUUGCCUCCACUUGGCUCCUGGAGCUGCCCGUGUCCCCGUCCUCUCAGGUGGACAAGAUGGGGUUGAGGUGAAUGUUCGUGCUGCUUGUCCUGGAUUCACCUUUAGCGCCGGAGAUCACUGUGACUUUUGCGCCUUGGGCACCUCUCCCCGGGGACAGCGUCUGGACGUCUCUGCCCGAGGAGGGGCCUGGAAGGAUCCACAGGUGCUUCUGGGCUCCAGAACCCACCCCGUGGGGCCCAGCAGGGUUUGGGGCUCCGCUGUGGACGCCCGGGGUUCAGAUCCACAGCCUCGUCCCCAUGCCGUGGAGCAGAGGAGGCGUCGCCCCAUCGAGGGGCUGUGGCCUCUGAGCGUGUGGCCCUGGGUUCACGUCCCAGUUCAGCCGCGUUCUGUGGCCUUUGACAAAUUACUUCACGUCUGUGUGUCGCCGUUUCACCUCCUAGGGUUUUAUGAAGAUGAAAUAAGAUGAAAAUGCAGAAAUGUGCCUCUUAGGGCUGAAUGUGGCUCUAUUCAAUGAGUGUUAGAAUUAUUCUAAUUCUAGAUUCUAAUUCUAAUUCUCUGCUCUGCUGAUUACUUUAUUUAUUAUUUGUUUCCCUCCGUGUGAUGAGGGCAGAGACCUGUCUGUUUUGUUCUUCUUGGACCCCGCAGGGUGUUCUCAGUGCUGGGGGCUGAAGGAUGCUCGAUAGGCACAUGGUGAAUGAAUGAAUGAAUGAAUGAAUUCCUAGUCACAGCUUCUCUGGGAUCACAUCCUUCCUUGUGUGCACUGAGGCCUCUGCCAAGAAGCCUCUCUUACAUGGGGGUACUGGGGAUAUUAUGGGAACAAAGCCGGUGGGGAGCCCCGGGGCGCCAUGGAAAACUCCGGAAAAGCCCUUCCAUCUGGGGGCAUGGCCACGCAGGCCCCCCACGGAGUGAAGUACAAGUUGAAGCUGGGAGGACGACAAGAAGCUGGGGAGUGGGGCCUGGAGGGCGGUGGCCGCCACGGGAAACAGGCCGUGGGGUGGCCCGGUGGGGAGAGCCACGUCCGCAGUGUCGGGCGUCCCCACGGCUCGUGGGACAGAGGGGCACGGCCGGCAGGGACACUCGCCCCACUUCUGGCGCACGGAAGGGAGGCCAGUGCUUCUCCAGGGUUGCUCCCGAGCAGGUGCGUCUCGCCCGGGACAUCCCUGAUCUCAGAAAAUGCCAGCUGGACUGCGGGCUCCUCAUUCAAUGUGCAGACAGAUUAACUCUCAGGUUCCCUGUGCCCCCUCCUGCCUUGAAAAUCGAAUUCGAUUCACCCCAGUUCCACUCACGCACUUGGUUGGGGAAACGUCUGUCGUGUAAUGUGAUCCUGUUAGCCGCCCGGCUCGAAGCCCUUCAGCGGAUUCUCAGUUGUGUUCAGAGUUUUCCCCGCAGCCUUGGCCCCCGUCCCCAAGCCUGCCUCCCUCUGCCCCGGCCCACCUGCCGUCUUCUGCCUUCUCUUGCCCCCCCCCAUAGAGGGUUGAUCUGCAUCCUCUCCCCCCUCCCCUGCGAUGCUUUUCCCUCCCUCUCUAGCUCCCGACUCCUCCUCAUCCUUUGGACCCCAGCCCCUGUGCCACCUCCUCCGGGAAGCCCUCCUUGACUUCCGAGUGGGCCACGUUGCCCACCCAUUGGCUCCAGCUGCUCCACAAUCCCCUCUUUCAUGGGAUCUUGUCACAGCUGGGAGAUUGUUGCCUUGUCUGUGUCGUUCUUUAACGUCCUUCUCCCCUCAUCUAGUGUAAGCGCCAGAGGACAGGGGCCCCGUCUGUCUUCACUCACCCCUGCCUCCCGGGCGCCUGGCACAGCCAUGCCAGAUGCCCGCCUCCCUUUUCUCCUCUGCAGGCCGGUCUCCUUCGGGCUGUCUCGGCAGCGAGCACCGCGAGCGUGUACCGAUUACUCGCUGUGUGCCGGGCGCCCGCCCGUCUGACCUCACCGGAUGGAAGGUUUACAGUCCCGGCCCUACCCACUGCCCAGCUCUGCAGCCUUGGGCAAGUCACUCAGCCUCUCUGAGCCUCAUUUUCUCAUCCAUGAAAUGGGACUAAAAAUAAUACCUAAUUUAUUGGGUUGUUGGGAGGAUUAAAUAGGUUAGUUCAUUUCAAAUUUAUUUUCUCCGUUUCGGAGGCUAGAAGUUCACGACCAAGGUGUGGGCGGGGUUGGCUUCUGAGGUCCCUCUCCUUGGUCUGGAGAUGGCCGCCUUCUCCUGUCCUCACGUGGUCUUCCCUCUGUGCACGUGUGGCCCUGGUGUCCCCGGGGUGUCCAGUCUCCUCUUAUAAGGACAUCAGUGAGACUGGAUUAGGGCCCAUCCUAACGGCCUCAUUUAAUUUGGUCACCUCUUGAAAGACCCCGUGUCCAAAUACCGUCCCAGUCUGAGGUCCUGGGGGCUAGGGCUUCAACACAUGAAUUCUGGGGACAGAGUUCAGCUCAUCACACCUUCUAACGAAGUAGUAUGAUUAUUCUCAUUUUAUGGCUAAGGAAGCUGGGGCACAGAGAGGUUAAGUCACUUCCCGAAAGUCACACAGCUGGUAAACAGAUGUAGAAAUGCCAACUCGGGGUCUGAACCCCGAGCCCACUCUCAGGCAUUCAGUGGUCUGUUUCCUGGCUAGGCUCCUUGGCAGGACACCAGGGUCGUCCCUGUUGGAGCCAGUCUGUGUCUUAACAGCCAGGAUGGGGAGGGAAUCAGGAUCCAGGGCUCUCAGAGGCCUCUCCCCUGGCCCUUUGCUCCCUCCAGCCCUUCCCCCCUUGCUCAGUGGCAGCUGCCAAACCUUUGAGAGAAUUGGGGCCUGUGUCCUGCACCCGGGCCGAGGCCACAAUGGGGCGAGAAUGCAGUGAGAGGGUCCCAGGAAGUGAGAGGGGUUAUCCAUUCCAGAGUUUUCUCCCCCUCCAUAGUUGAUCUAUUUGAUUUCCCAGGAGUUCUCAGAAACUAUUUGAAAAUAGUGAAGUUUUGCUGGUGAAACACCUAAGACAAAAAUAAUGAGGGUAAACGCAGUGAGAGAAUAUGGAAAUAGAACAAAGGCGUCUUCAAUGGAAAUGCACUCUGGGUCUUAACCCCGCGCCCUGCGUGGAGACGACCACGGUGGCCAGCUUCUCGUGUCUCUGGAGCGGCGCUCUCGGUGGACGAGCCCUCUGUGAGCAUCGCGCCCUUCAUCUUUACAUCUCUGUUACCUUCCAUACCUGAGUUUACGGAAGCCGCCGUUGGAAAGAGACCUCGAGGCGUCUUUCCACCCCUGAAAGGAGAAGAAAGCGGUGGAAAGAGGACAAGCUGGGCCAAUAAAGGAAAUAAACAGGAGCCCCUUUGACCAGGAGACUCCAUCUCGCUGACGCCUGAAGACCUGCCCAGGUGACGAGCCAGCACUGGCCUCCCCUGCUCUCUCUGCAUCUCCGCCCCAUGCUGACACUGCCCGAUUGCCCUUCAAUUCUACCUGUCUGUCCGUCUCUUCCCUAUCUCUUCUCUCGCUCUUCCCCUGUCUCCUUCAGUCUUUCUCCAUCUUUCCCUCUCUCUGACUUACCUUCGUCUGUUUCUCAGAUUGGCUGCCUCUCCACCAUUCUGUCUCUAUUUCCCCUUUUCCACUAUUCAUUCAUUCAUUCAGACAUACUAAUUGAAGACCCACUAUGUGCCAGGCACCGCUCUGGACACUAGGAACAUGGCAGUGAACAAAGGCAUGUCCAUGCCUUCACGACACAUAUGUUCUGACAAAGGAAGAUGCCACCGGAGCAAAUAAGGAAAAUGUUGGGCAGGUGGCAUGCCCGCGGGCACUGGCGCGGGCUCGAGGAGCAGGCUCCAGGCGCGGAUCCAUCGCCAGCUGGUCCUGUCGCUUGGCCAAGCCCCCUUUCCCUUCUCAGCCCCACUUUUCUCAUUUCCACAGUGAGGGUGUUGGGCCAGGUCGGUGCUGCCCGCCCUUCUCACGACCAAGAACUUCUUUUUUUAUGGAAAUACUGGUGACAUACAUUAUACAAGGCUGGAUUCUAAACCAUCAUCACACAAAUAAA